GAUGAACGCUGGCGGCGUGCCUAAUACAUGCAAGUCGAGCGAAUGGAUUAAGAGCUUGCUCUUAUGAAGUUAGCGGCGGACGGGUGAGUAACACGUGGGUAACCUGCCCAUAAGACUGGGAUAACUCCGGGAAACCGGGGCUAAUACCGGAUAACAUUUUGAACCGCAUGGUUCGAAAUUGAAAGGCGGCUUCGGCUGUCACUUAUGGAUGGACACGCGUCGCAUUAGCUAGUUGGUGAGGUAACGGCUCACCAAGGCAACGAUGCGUAGCCGACCUGAGAGGGUGAUCGGCCACACUGGGACUGAGACACGGCCCAGACUCCUACGGGAGGCAGCAGUAGGGAAUCUUCCGCAAUGGACGAAAGUCUGACGGAGAAACGCCGCAUGAGUGAUGAAGGCUUUCGGGUCGUAAAACUCUGUUGUUAGGGAAGAACAGGUGCUAGUUGAAUAAGCUGACACCUUGACGGUACCUAACCAGAAAGCCACGGCUAACUACGUGCCAGCAGCCGCCGUAA
RNAcentral lists this ribosomal RNA (515 nucleotides) under uncultured bacterium. RNAcentral describes it as "partial 16S ribosomal RNA". It matches the Rfam family "Bacterial small subunit ribosomal RNA", at positions 28 to 523 of the family's 1533-position model. The record is from RNAcentral.